Long non-coding RNA from Nicotiana tabacum (common tobacco), 679 nucleotides. RefSeq lists it as uncharacterized. NCBI's taxonomy places the organism in Eukaryota, Viridiplantae, Streptophyta, Magnoliopsida, Solanales, Solanaceae. The record is from RefSeq and is a predicted model, not a curated record.
CUUCAACUCACAAAUUAGCAGGGCUUAAUUUCCUUUCUUCAUCAUAGCAGGGCUCAAUUCCCUCUCGUCAUCAUCUUCUCUACAAAAUAAUUCGGCGCAAUCCGAACAAUAAAGGUUGUUGUAUAUAAUUAUCCACUGAAUCAAAGGGUAUUAAGCAAAGGAUCAAUCAUCCAGGAUUUGAGCUAAUCACCAUGGUGAUGCACAUCCAUCGCAAGAUAAAUCCUCCACUAGUGCAAAGGUUUGAUGGGCUGUAUGAUAGCAUUGGAAGCUACAACCAUUGAAGAAUAUUUGCAGCAUUGAAUCCAGUUGGAUUGAAACAAAAAAAUGGUAGCCUUCGGAACAAAUGAACAUGGUUAGUUCAAUGACAUCUUGCUAUAUGGCUACAGAAUUAUACUGCAAUAUAAGAAACAACAAAGAUCCUUGGCAUUCUUAUUGUGAGAAUUGAUUCUGCUAGCUACUUUUCCAACUCCAAUUACAUGAACUACAGCAUAGUGAUGCUAAGAGUGAGCCUACUUCACUGUGGAUGUAAGAGUAUCACCAGAUGACAACAAUUCGAAUCACUUAGCAAAUACUUAGCACUUUUGUAUAUUUUUUUUUUAUUAUGGAACUACUCUAGAUUGUAUUAUGUUUAAGUUACCAUAUAUAGUUUAAAUUUGAAUAUGUGAUGUUUGUUAUUAUU